RNAcentral lists this non-coding RNA (27 nucleotides) under Homo sapiens (human). The record is from RNAcentral. Lineage: Eukaryota; Metazoa; Chordata; Mammalia; Primates; Hominidae.
GAACAAGGGAAGAGUGGGCGUGGAGGG